CAAAAUUCGUUGGCUUUAUUGACCGUGAGGGUUCAAGUCCCUCUACCCCCA
RNAcentral lists this transfer RNA (51 nucleotides) under Pleurozium schreberi. Its description in RNAcentral is "partial tRNA-Leu". Lineage: Eukaryota; Viridiplantae; Streptophyta; Bryopsida; Hypnales; Hylocomiaceae. The record is from RNAcentral.